AUGCUCUCGGCUGAAGGUUUUGCAGUCCCAACAUUUCUCGCUCUUGAAGGAUGCAACGAGUCAUUCAUUUCAUUUGAAAAAUCUGCAAAUGUCACAUCUGUCCAGAACCUGAGAUUUGAAGAUUGUCAAAUGAUGUCCCUGCCAACUAGUCUGACGUGCUUCUCCAAUCUGAAAAAUCUUGUCAUCUUUGGCUGCCCCAACAUAUCAUCUUUACCGGACCUGCCAUCCUCCCUCCAGCGCAUAUGCAUUUGGGGUGGUUGUGAGCUCUUGAAGGAGAGCUGCCGAGCACCUGAUGGAGAAAGUUGGCCAAAGAUCGCGCAUAUCCGCUGGAAGGAUUUAUAA
RNAcentral lists this ribosomal RNA (342 nucleotides) under Triticum aestivum (bread wheat). Its description in RNAcentral is "partial small subunit ribosomal RNA". Lineage: Eukaryota; Viridiplantae; Streptophyta; Magnoliopsida; Poales; Poaceae. The record is from RNAcentral.